RNAcentral lists this ribosomal RNA (774 nucleotides) under uncultured Neocallimastigales. RNAcentral's name for it is "partial large subunit ribosomal RNA". It matches the Rfam family "Eukaryotic large subunit ribosomal RNA", at positions 23 to 639 of the family's 3401-position model. Lineage: Eukaryota; Fungi; Neocallimastigomycota; Neocallimastigomycetes; Neocallimastigales. The record is from RNAcentral.
AGAGAGAGACAUGCGUGCAUAUCAAUAAGCGGAGGAAAAGAAACUAACUAGGAUUCCCUCAGUAACGGCGAGUGAAGCGGGAAGAGCUCAAAUUUGAAAUCUUCAAGGUUCUACCUUGACGAAUUGUAGUUUAAAGAAGUGUUUUCUGUUGGAGUUUUGGUAAAAGUUCUUUGGAAUAGGACAUCAUAGAGGGUGAGAAUCCCGUAUUUGACCAUUAUUUCCAGCUUUGUGAUACACUUUCAAAGAGUCGGAUUGUUUGGGAAUGCAGUCCAAAAUGGGUGGUAAAUUUCAUCUAAAGCUAAAUACUGGCGAGAGACCGAUAGCGAACAAGUACCGUGAGGGAAAGAUGAAAAGAACUUUGAAAAGAGAGUUAAACAGUACGUGAAAUUGUCAAAAGGGAAGCGUUUGACACCAGUGUUGUUUUCUCGAAAAUCAAUUAAAAAAGGCAGGAUUUUGUGUUGUAUUGACUUUAUCAGCUUUCUGCACUCUUUUCUUGUCUUUUUUAACGCACUUUUCGUUUAACAAGUCAACAUCAAUUUCUUUUGUUGUAAAAGGGUCAUUGGAAGGUGGCUUUCUUUUCGGAGAAAGUGUUUAUAGCCUUUGGCCUCUGCAAUCGGAGAGAUUGAGGUCUGCAGCGUAGAUCCUUCGGGGUUAGAUACAUUUGUGCUAAGUUAUAGCCUUUCAUAGACAACUUGUUGACUAUGAUCAGUCAUGUAGCUUACUCGCUUAUGCUAUUUUACCUACGCUUAGGAUGUUGAUGUGAUACUGCGAGCA